RNAcentral lists this long non-coding RNA (258 nucleotides) under Rattus norvegicus (Norway rat). Its description in RNAcentral is "long non-coding RNA NONRATT020168". Lineage: Eukaryota; Metazoa; Chordata; Mammalia; Rodentia; Muridae. The record is from RNAcentral.
GUACCAGAAGAAAAAAAUCUUUGUGGCACAUAACAACUAAAAUACUAAAUAUACAGAACAAAGAAAGAAUACUAAGAGCUCCAAUGGAAAAAGGCCAAGUAACAUAUAAAGGCAUGCCUAUUAGAAUUACACCCAACUUCUUGACAAAGACUCUAAAAGCCAGAAGGGCCAAGAGGAUGUCUUGUAGACUCUUAAGAGACCAUUGAUGUCAGCCCAGACUACUAUACCCAGCAAAACAUUCAAUUACCCACAUACACA